CUAAAAGUUGUGGUUUGACAAGUGAAAUCCCAUAGGAAUAGUUUAUUGAAUGAAUUUAAUGAUAAGAGUUUGUAUUUGUAUCAAUUAUAACUUGGUUAGCCACUUAGUUGACUAAAAUUGGGUCUUUAGGAUGUUAGUUGUUGUUUGGGUCUGUGGUAAAGUGUUGGUUUUGGUAUAAUGGAUUGAGUUAUUGAUCGAAUGAUCAAAUUGAUAUCCAAUCCAAAUGUUUAAACAUAUUUUCCAAAUAAUAACCGAGAUAAGGAUAUCAAAUUAGGUCAUUUGGUUAAGACUGGAGUACACAUAGAUCAGGUUUAGAGCUGCUGGUUUUUGUGUGGCAUUGAGGGGUAUCUGAGUGGUGUUGAGCUAUGCAAAGUCAGAGAACCAAUGGACUCCAGAGCAUUGAGUGACCAUUUUGGGCACUAAGCCUGUGAAGACAGUAAGAUCUUUAUAUUUUUGGCAUUGAGGGGCACUUAAGGUCACUGAGUGUUGCAAAGACAGUGGGCUCUCUAUUUAAGGGGCACUAAGCGUGUUGGGAGGUGCUGAGCGCCACUUCGUCAUUAUAGGUAUGGACUUCUUUUUCCUUUAAUUCACUGGGCGAGGGGUUAUCUCGCUGGGUGAGGAACCUUGCUCAUUGGGUGGCAGAAUCUUGCAGUUGGGCACUCUAUUUUAGGGUUGUGUAGACGUUUUCCUUAUUGUUGAUUCCUUGUUUGAUUUGAAUUGGUUAUUUUGAUUUAAUGUAUAUUUAAAUGGAAAUGUUGACGCUUUAUGGAUUUUAAAUAUAAAUAUAAAUAUGGUUAAAGUAUGAUGGUAAACAUGUAUGGUGCUCGUUUGUGUAUGAUAUUAUGAUGAUUAUGAGUGUGUUAUUAAUCGUGAAUAUGGUAUACAUGUUUGAUGGAGUUCCAUGGAUCUUGUGAAGACAUUAUAUGGUGUAGGAGGUCUAAAAUAAAGAAUUAUUUUAACACUCUUAAUAACUUCCAAUUUCAAGUACAAAACGAUGGUUAUGUCGUGAAGAGUAGUAGGAGGUCCUUAGUCUGAUGGUCAUGUAUUGACAAUAGAUGUUUGACAGAUUAAUCUUGGUGUGUGAUAGUUUUAUGUGGGCGGGUUGUUUCACCACGCACAACGUAGAUACCCCAAGAGUUCGACAUAAAUACAUGUAUUUGGAUGGUCAAGUCUAGAAAUGAUUGUAUGUCCUAAGAUUGAUUGACUUAUCUAUGUUAUAUGCUUGUUUCUAUAUAGGUGAAAUACGAUUGUUUUUAGUACAUUAUCUUAUUCUUUCCUUUCUGUUUGUUUGUAGUGUGUUCCUUCUUGUUUGCAAUGAGCACCUUAAUGGUAUGAGCAAAUGAAGAUGUUUUAGUUGAUUUUGUGUAGAACGGGAGUGAUGCUGAAGCAUAAAGUAGGAUGCUUAAUCUCAGUGUAUAUUAUUUUUUUUUUUAAACUCAAUUACGCUUUUAGUUUUGGUGUAGUAGUAUUUUUUAGAAAUAUAGAAUCUCUGUAAAUAUGUUCAAUUACUAUUACAGUAAUGUUUGAGAUAAUUGUAAUAGACUUUUGUAUAUAUUAUUUUUUAAAAUUUUAUCCUCUUAUUUCUUUUCUAAGUAAUACUUUUUUAGUAGUUUUAUAUUAUUAAAAUUAAAUGCACAAUAUGUAUAUAAAAUACAUUUUUAAGUAUUAUACUAAAUGUUUUUAUAAUUAUUAGAUGUCUUAACUAAUUAAAUUUCUGCAUCAUCCAAUAGUUCGUUCUAAAAAUUGUUAAUAUCAAUAUUUUAACAUGAAAGAUAAUAUAUAACUUUUAUUCACAUUUUAUUUAACAGCGAUAAUUAUUAAAUAUGUUUUUCUUUUACUUAAAAAAUUGUUUGCAAUUAAUAACCUUUAUUAGAGUCUAUUUUUAAUUGUUGGAAAUAGAAAUAUGAAAAUAUGCGGACAACAAAAGCUUGUAAAGCGCCUAAAAGUAGAAAACAAAAAUACCCUAAAUGAACUGUAAAUCUUUUUGUGUUAAAAUAGUAAACUUUUUGAAAAUAUAAUAACUUUGUUUUGAUAAAAACACAUAAUAUACAUUGAAUGUGAGUGUGAAUGUAUGAGAUGUCAAAUUUCAUAAUAAUACUUGAUAGGAUUUUAUUUAAAAAGACAUAAGAUAUAAAAUAUGAUAAAGAAAUUUCUCCACUUUCUUAAUGAAAACAUAUUAAAGAAGAAAACAGCAUAAAAAUAUCCAUUAAUUAGUGACAAACAUUCUAAUAUGUGAAUCUAUAAUUCUUAUAAUUGUUUUGAUCAUUACAUGAAAUUUUGAUUCUUUCACGUUAUAAAAUAUUAAAUACAUUUACAUGUUUUGGAUAUUUUUAUAAUUAAAAAUUAUUAAAACAUAAUGUAUAAAAAUAAUAAUAUUAUGUAUAAAAGUUUUGUACCAACCGUUUGACUAACUGAUAUUGACUAACCAACUUUUGACGGAUAGAUAGACACCAUAGAAUGAGUUUAUACACAACUAGAUUGGUGACGAUGUGACCCACAACAACGUUGCCUACUAAGUAAUUAUGACAUUUGUAUUGGUAUAUCAAACAAUAUAAAUUUUAAUGUAAAUAUAUCGUAUUUUAUUACAAUAUGUUAAAGAUUUAAAAACUGCCAAUUUUUUUAAAUAUUAUUUUAAAAAUAUAAAAAAAAAUUAUAAGUUUCUUUUAACAAUUUUAUAAUUAAUAAUCAAAUCACCUAUUUUAUUUAAAAAUUCAAACAUGGAUUAAAUUGAUAAUGUGACUUUUCAUAAUCAUGUUUUUAAACUUUUAAUUUAGACUUUUGAGUACUAAAUUUACCUUUGAUUUAGGUAAUCUUUUAUGGACUAAGAAAUAAGAAUAUUUGUAGGAACAUCUGCAUCAUGUUAUUAUAAUGACAUGGAGAUACUUUUCAUGAUAAAACAAUUUAAAAUUAAAGAAUAAACUCUAAGAGCAAAGUAAAAUCAAAUCAAUCCAUAAAAUGUUAUCAAGAGACUCUAAAUUGGAGUCAAAAGUCAUAAAUAAUGAAAACCCUUUUUAUUUAGUAGCAACAUCCUUUGUUGCAUACUUGAAGUUAAAACUAGAGUUCAAAGUUAUGUUAAUUAGUUCUAAUAUAGUUUUAAUGUAAUUGUAUUUAUUCUCAAAGAAUGAUAACUCAAUCUUCAACAACUUCUAAAAAUAAUAUAAAAAAUUUGUUUAUUUUUUAAAGUUAGGAUGACAAUGUAGGUGGAUUAUGUGAGUUAAUAUGUUAGUUUAUUAGAAAAAAUUGCAGAGAGAACAAAGUAUUUUGAUUUGUUGGUAUGUUUAGACUAAUUUGUUGGUUUUUUUAGAUUUAUUUCACAUUAUUCGUAACUUUUUUUUUUUUUUUCAUUUUUCUUCACUUCAUGUUUGAAUUCCUAAGUUAGUUCUCUUGUGUAUAAUAAACAUUGAUUAAUUGCUAUAGUUUCUUUUUUUUUUAACUUAGAUAAUAAUUUAUUUUUAUGUUUUUUAUCAUGAAAAGUUUAAUUUUGACAUAUUUAUUUUAUGUAAAUGUUAUUAUUACUUUUACUUACCUUAUUUCAAUUUAAUUGUCAAUGCUAAACUCAUGUCAUAAUAAAGAUGUGUAACAUUAAAACCAGAUUAUUCUAGUAACAUUUGUAUAUUAUUUGUUUAUUAUAAUAAUAAACAAAAUAGAAUAAAAUAAAAGUACCAUUAUAAAAAUUACAAAAGCAUAGACAAAAUGAAACUAUUUCAAUGAUGACAGUGAUACACACUCUUAUGAAACAAAUUGCAUUAUUUCUAGCUAUUUAUAAACGGCAAAUAAAAAUUGUUUAUUGUGUGCAUUAAGGAAAAUAAUUAAUAACAGUGUCACCAUAUACUGAGACAAGUAUAGGAAAUUGGUAUAAAAGUGGAAAAUAUUUAUAAUAAAUGAAAUGCUAUGAUAUUGAAGAAACAAAAUAACAAUGAGCAGUAUAAGUUAUGUAUUUAUACUGUUUACGUGUAUAUGUAUAGCUACUAGUACUUUGAUGGUUAAUACUCAUGCUACACCAAAGUUUUUAACUUCGUGUACUAUUAUAGCUGCUAAAAGUUUCCAUACAAUGUCUUUUUUUUUCCAAUUGGACUUGUAUAAUUUUUUUAUUCAAAUACAUUAUCUAUCCAUAAGAAAUACUUAAUUUAAAAAUUAUUAGACAAUUUGACACUAUAGUUUCAUCUAAUCUUCAUCCGAUAUGUAUAUAUAUAAAAUCAAUCUAAUUAAGCAUUUUACUUAAUUUAACAGAGGCGUGAUAUUAUUCAAAUAAUAGAGGCAUGAUAAUUUAAAAUUAUCCAAUAAUAUUUCAUUAAUAUCUAGACGUAUUUUUUAUUUUAUUUUUAACUAAAAGAGUGAUAAAAUAAUAUGUUAAUCUUAUUAAUCAAAUAUUGAUUUUAUAUGUAAAUAAUCAUAUAUUAAGAACUCCUAUUAAACAAAAUUAAAUAUGUUAUGAAUUAUAUUAUACAUUUAUGUACUAAAAAUAUAUGAUAUGUGUAGUAAUUAAAAGGUAUUUUGAUAUUUCAUUAUUAGACAUAGAAAAAUAUUUAUUAGAAAUUUACAUAUACAAGGAAUUUAAAGAUAAAAUCACAUCACUUUUUUUAUCACAAGGAAUUUACAUAUACAAGUAUAUUUUUACUCUUACACUUUUUUUUAUUUCUAAUAAUUAUCAUGUAUGGUUACAUAAUUCUAAUAAUAAAAAAAAUAACUAUAGUACUAGUAAUAUUCGUUUAUACAAGUAUAUUUCUACUCUUAUAUUUAUUCUUAUUUUUAAUGAUUAUCAUCAUUUAUCAUUAUAUAAUUUUAAGAAUAAACAUAAUAGUAAUGAUACGUUGGGGUUGUUAAUAAAGUUUUAUUACUAUACAAACACUAAAGAAUAAAUGUUUGAAUAAUUCAAUGAUAGUUAAUCAACUUAAUCUCUAAUCCUUAUAAUCUCUAACUAUAAAUUGUCAUAUAUGUUAUUAUUGUGAUUAUCUUAAAAUUUAUUUUAAUAAUUACUUUUAAUUAAUUAAUCAUGUGUAAUAAAGCUUCCCUCUUAGAGAAUGUGGCCAUUAUUUAUUUAUUGGAACUUCUUUUAGGUUGUGGAUAAUUCUGGCCCAAUUAUCGCUCCAAUCCUGUAAGAAGACACAUUUUCUCUAGGCCUAUUUUACAUAUUCUGAUUAGGGAAUUUCCUUUUUCACCCCAUAAUUUUAUUUGUUCAGCAGCGUUAAUAACACAAAAAAAAUAUUACUCUGUCUUUAAAAAAUAACUUUCAAAGUAAUCCAGAAAUUUAUUUAACUUACUUAUGGAUUAUGUAAUUCAUAACUCAAUUUAUUUUAAAUUAUUUAAUUUCAAAAGCAUUUUAUUUUGAAAUCUUGUGAUGCCCUAUACGGUUCAAGAGUAUUAGUGGUUUUAAUAAAAAUAGAACACUAAUAUCAUAUUAAAAGGUUUAAGUUAUAUAAUGACUUUUUAAUAACUAACGUUUAUUUCUAUAAAACCACCAUCUCUACAACCAAACUUUUAAAUUCUUUUUGUGUUCUCUCUAGUUUAUCUUAAACAUUUUUCAUUUACUUGAAUAUUAAGAACUAUAGUCGUGAUUCUCAUAAGGAGUUCUACACAACCACCUGAUCAAAGAAUUGAACAAAAUAAGUCUUGCUUUUGUCCUCUUUUAAGUUUUGAACCUCGGAGUUGUAUUUGGUUCUAGAACCAUGCAUGUGAUUCAAAGUUGUUCUUAAUGACUCUUUAUCACUCUCUAAUAUUAAUGGUAGACUUAUAACUUCAAUCAGAUUUUUUGUUGUUUGUUGUUUUGGGAGACAUCUUUGGCUGAAGUAAGAGAAGCUAAUUUGUAAUUAUCCUUAAUUUGUUUAUUGAUUAUUGUAUUAUGACAUUGAAAUUGUGCUUGAUUAAUUAACAUAUUUGACAAUUAUAAUUGGAUUUGAAAUGUAAAAUUUGUCUUGAUGGAAUUUAUGAAGGGAGGAGUGAACUUGUGAAGGGAGGAGUGAACUUGUGGAUUAAUUAACAUAUUUUUGGACAAAUUUGAAUUUGUCCAAUAUGUAUAUUUGGUGGUUUAUAAAGUGUGGAAUUGGUUUCAUGACUAAGAUUGGAGUUUAAAUAUAUGAAAUGUUAAAUGUAUAGACAUAUUUAUGUGUUUAAUUUGAUUUUGAGGUGUGAAAGGAGUGAAUUUGUGAAUGCUAUAUUUUUGGCAAAAAUGAGUUGUUCAACAUAAUUUUAGCGUGAUUUAUGAUUUGUGUGCAACAUGAGUUUUGGUUUUUGGUUUGUUUGGCAUUUUUAAAUUACAAAAUUUUGUGGUAUACUUUAUGUAGACCCAUUGGACGAGCUUAUAUGCUGGGCUAGCUUAUAUACGUCGGGUAAGUGCUAAUUUUGAGUAUGGAAGAGAAACAAGUGACACUUUCUCAUUGGGCAAGCCAACCUCUUGCUAGGUGAGUUGGAUUUUCUAGCUCUAAGUCAUAUAGGGAACAUUAGGAUUCCUGCUUCAUUAAUCGUCAAAUUGAGCUGAAAUUUUGACAACAAGCCUUUGGAAUAUGAUUCUUUGUUUUGAUCAUUGAGAUAUUUGAUUUGAGUUCUAUAGUUUGAAAUUUUAGUCUUUUAUGAUUUUUCUAUUUAAGGUUUCUCUUUUAUGAAGAGAAUUUAUACUAGACGUGUUAGUAGGUUGUUAUGUACUGUAGUGGUCUUAGGUUGAUCUUGAUAUAAAAGUCUAUAUUUUGGGAAUGAUAAAUGUGUGUGAUAUGAAGGGUAAAUAAAGCAUCCUCAUGUGAUGAUAUAAUUUUAUAUAUAUUUUGUGGAUGUGUUUUGAAUAUAUGAAUGAGGAGGAAAUAAACGAGUAUAAAAAAUAUCAAAGGUUUCAAGGAGGUUAUUUCAAUAUAAAGUGGUAUGGAAGUGCAUGCCUGGAGAGAAGUAUACUAAUGAAAAUUGAAAGAAUGAAUGGAAAAUAAAAACAGAUAAAAGAAAGAGAAAUGGAAACUUAUGACUUGUAGACAUGUCACUUGAGAGAGGACUCCAAGAUAAGUGUCGAGGAAGGACCACCACUUGAUUUGCUCAAGAUAAGGUUUGCCAAAAUGGAGUAAGUGACAAAAGACUAUCUCUAAGAAGAAUGCAAGAGUUCAAUUCAACUCAAAAUUUCAUUGAUUUCAAAGGUAAGUACAAAGGAGACCCCCUAGGCUUCUUAUAUAGCUUUUGGAAUGAGUUUGGUGAAGAGUUUCAAGAGAUGUGGGACUUGGAAGGCUCCAAGGUCCAUCCAGCAGCUGCAACACGUCCCCUAGGUGCUUGGAGCCCCACAUUGCUUAAUUCUCUCAUUCCAAAAGGGUUUAUAAGCUACCUAACUCUCUUAAAGUUCAAAAAAUGAAAACUAGCUAUGCUUCCUUGUGCUACAAGCUAAGACGCCUACUUCCUUCUCUUUUCUUUUAAGACCAAGCCAUGGAAAGUCCCACAUUUCUUGUGCUUAAAGGAAAAGAAGGGUUUAUAAGCGUUUAUUCCACUAAAACUAAUGAAAAGAAUCAAAGAGGCAAAUACAAGUCUAUUAAACCCAUUCUACUUUUUUUGUACAAAUGUGUAAAGAAGACAAGAAGUAAAAUGAUUUCCUUUAACCAUGCUUCUUGUCAUCCUUUUAUUCUCUUCAUCGAAAAGAAAUCAAAGAGGCAAAUACAAGCCUAUUAAACCUAUUCUACAUUUUAUGUACAAAUGUGUAAAGAAGACAAGAAGUAAAAUGAUUUCCUUUAGCCAUGCUUCUUGUCAUCCUUUUAUUCUCUUCAUCACUUGCCUUCUCUAUGAUCACAUCAUAAAGGGAUGUGAUAUAUUGCUUUGUUUAUGUUUUAGUUGCAUGGCCAUAUUCUUCCAAGGAGGAAAGGUAGGAUAAGAUAGUUAGUGUUAUGCAAUUUCUGGAGAUCUUAGAAACACAUGACUUCGAUGGGCGACAUGUUGAUGAAGAUAUCUAGCACUUUAGAUGAAGACUUUUCCUGCAUGAACAAAGACUUAACACGAGGAAAAAAAGAGAACGAAUGAAUAUUAUUGAUGUAAAAAUUAUCUGUGUACAAAGCGAAAAAAGAAGGAAGAAUAUAUACAACAUAAGGUCUACAUAACAGAAAAGGGCACAUAAACCUAACAGAAUAAUAGAGAAGAAUGCAUAAACUUGACCAUAUAAGCUCAACCCAUAUGAGCCCGACAGUACAAGCUCAACUCAUUUUAUUUUUGUUAUUUUGAGAAGGGACACUCCUGUGAAGCUAUGCUGAACUCUACUAGAUUUACAAACUCAUAUAGAGGAUGAGAUCUAGGUGGUGAAGAGUGAAAGGGGUUCCUAUAGUUGGUUAAGGAGGUUAGUAUGGUAUAGAGAGCUAACCCUAUCAAAAGGAGGUUCGAUGACCUAGUAAAUUUGGGUUGGUUUUGACAUAUCAUAUCAUUAUAUUAUUUUGAUUGUUCUAUAAUAGUUGCACAACUUCUAGUAUCCGACCAAUUACAUAAAUUCAUAUAUUGAAUCUAGUGUUGUUAUCGAUUAUAUGUUUGUGAAUAGUGUGAUGAGAUAUUUAUGUAUUUCUUGUCUUGAUUAGGUGAGAUUGAGAUAAAAAAUUGUUUAUAUACGUUUAUAUUAACAUUAGCUUUUCCUAUUUUUUUUGUUGUUUUUUUUUUCUUCUUUUGUAAUGAUCAUUAUUAUGAUAUAAGAGGAGGUUCUAGUGAUAGUAGUCACUAAAAGUGGUUGAAAUGUAGAAUUCUUGUUUGUUUAUAAUUUUUGAAAUGAAUGUAGAAUAAAUAUAUAUAUAUAUAUAUAUAUAUAUAUAUAUAUAUAUUUAUUUUUUGAGAAUCUGACUAUAAUAAUAACAAUAUUUAUAUAUGAUUGUAUAUUAAAUCUUCUCUGGCCAUAUUUGUUUUUAUAUAAAAAAUAUAAGUAAUAAAGACCUAUUUUUUUGCUUAAAAAAAUUAAAUUAUACAAAUUAAAAAUUCGUAAAUAUGUUCUAAUUUUAAUAGUUUAAAAUUUUUACUUUCAAAUAAUUUUGAAUUAUAUAAUUUAAAAAUAUUUUUAUAAGAUAGUAACUUUUAAAUUGUACAAAGACAUUUAUUUUGAUUCAUACAAAUAAAAAUAAAACACAGACACUAGUGCAAAAACGUUGUUUAACGUUGGUUAUUUUGGACUUUUAACGUCUAAUCUUAAACUGACGUUUAAACCGGCGACGUCAAUGGGACGUCAGACAUCCUAACCACAGACGUCUAUAAUGACGUUAGUUAGUGCCCACGAACGACGUCAAUAAACGUCGGCACUGGUUUGAAUGGACGUCUAAAGGCACUAAUUAGACGUCGAAUAACGCAUUAACCGACGUCGAAGAGCAUAUAUAGACGUUGAACAUGGCAAAGGCCGACGUCUAAGAGCACAUAUAGACGUCGGUUUUUGCAUUAACCGACGUUUAAUACAGUGAUUGUGUUUUAGUGCAGUUUUGUUCCCGUCUUUGGACAGCCUAGUAGCACAAUCUCCUUUUGCUAGUUUCUCCCAAAAAAAAAGCUUGCGUCUUUUGAAUUUCUUAUGGUCCCUUCAACCCAAAACCGAACCUGGGUGGUUGCUUAGUUUCAUUUUUCUUCCGCAAGAGGAAAAAAUCACGAUGAAACGAAAACUAGACAACGACCCAGGGUUGUUUUUGGAUUGAAACGAUAAAAAGAAAUUCAAAAGACUUCACUAUUUCCGGGAGGCAGCUAGCAAAGGGAGAAUGUGUUACUACGUUAUCCCAAGAAAGGAACAAAACUGCAUUAAAACACAACACAAAGAAAGCAAAUUUUAAUCAGUUGAACCAGAAGAUAAUCGAUGAAAAACAAACGGUAAGCAUAAGAAAAAACCACGCACCUGGGAUGCAAUGUUGCAAGAGAGAAAAAGAGAGGAGGAAGACGAUAAAGAUAUCAGAAACAACAAUAAAAUGCCGCAACAAAAAGAAGACGUGCCGAAAGGGAGAAAAAGAAGAGUGUCGCGAGAGAAAAAAGAGAAGAGGAAGAGGAAGAUAUCAGAAACUGAAUGCCGUGAAGAGUUUGCGGUCUUUUUAAAAUGAAAUUGGGCGUCAGUUUCUCUAGAUAGCCGACGUCUAUAUGAUUAUAGACGUUAGUUCUGUUACUAAUUCGACGUCCAAGUUAACUUUUCAACUGACCUUUUGAAUCCCACUAGAUGUCGGUCACAAUGGGAACCGACGUCUAGGAAGCUGAAACGAUUGAUAUUUGAUUUCCUGUUAGGGAUGUUGACGACAGUUGUGAUGGGGCGCCGAUGUCUAUAAUGAUGCGCAUCAUUACUUACAGGCACAUAGACGUCGGUGUCCCUUCUAGCCAACGUCUAUGGCCCUCGAAUUUGGUGAAUCUAAUUAAUUACAGACACUUAGAUGUUGCAUGCACAGAUCCCCGAUGUCUAAAUUGAAGAUUUUUUAUCUUCCCGCCUUCCAUAUUCAGGCCGUAGACGUCGCCUGUUGACUAAGUGACGUCCAAGCGCCUGAGAAUUAGGUGAAAGCAUUAAUUGCAGCCCAAUAGACGUCGGCCCCGUGAACACCGACGUCACGAGACUGUCUUCUGACCUACCUCAGGCCAUUAGACGUUUGUUUGCAGCAGUUAGGACAUCUACAAUAUCAUAGACGUUGCUUUGUCUGGAAACCGACGUCUACGUUACCAAGAUAUUUACGAUAAUGUCACCGUCCACUCAUAUACGUCGGGUUAUCAACAAACCGACGUCUAUUGAAUGACGUUAAACAAUAUUUUUACACUAGUGAGACAAAGAUAGUGACAAGAUGAUGAAACACAACGACACACAGACUAACAGUGGUAAGGGGUGAUGGCAACAGCGGCAGUUUGGUCUAUUAACUACUCCAUGGAAAUGCACAUAAAAAGUAUGGCGUGGCAGAAAGAAAUGGGCUGAUAACCAUGGCGGAAUUCAUUGGUUGGUCCUUUUGUGUAUUGCUAUUUACACUCUCUUUACAUAAGUUUUUCAUUUCCUCCUUACAAAAAUCCUCUUCCCAAAUAGCAUGUUCUGAAAGUUUAUUUUGUAACGAUUAAAUGUUAAAUUCAUUUUAAAAAAGUGUUAUUUUAUGAAAUUUUAAUAACACUUCCCAAAACUAACUAUAGGUAUCAAAUUUUGAGCCUUGUUACUGGAAACUUAAGUAUGAUAUAACAACUUAGUAAUAUGUAAUAAAAGAAUGAACACAAAUCUCUUUGUUAGAUCUAAUUGAUUAAUCAACCAUAAAUAAUUUUAAACAAUGCUGACAUAAUCUAAAGCACAGUGUUGUUACAAUUGCUUUUGUUUUGGCACCAAUACAUUUAACAUGUUUCUAAUGGUAAACUUGUACUCUUCAACAUAAUAGCAUUUAUUAAGUGGGGAUAAAAUAAUCAAAAUCUUUCUACUUGAUUAUAACCCAUAGAUAAUUAAUUAUCUAGGUUGUUCAAAAUAUACCAUGUUUUAUUAUUUUUUACUCAAUCAAUUAUUCAAAAAUUAUAUAUUAAUAUAUUAUUUAUAACCAAUGAGAUAUAAUUGAUUAUGAAUUUAUUAUAAUCUAUUAUGCACUCAUGUAAUGUAAAAUUUUCAAAAAUUUCAUAUUUUAGGAAAUAUUUUUGCUUUAAAAAUUAAAAUUAAAAUAUAAUAUACAUCCAAAUAAUCAUUUUGUACUUUAAUUUUCUUAAUUAUACCUUUUCCUUAAAAAAAAAUUACAUAUUAUCAGUUUGUGUUGGUUGUUUAUUUAGUUACAUUUCUUAUAAACAUCAAGAUUAAAAAAAAAUCAUCUCAUAAAGAUGUAAAAUUCUAUGAAAAUAUUUUUUCUUUUCAAAAUCUUCAUAUACACCCAAAUAACCAAGAUGUUUUUCAAAGUGUUGUUCCUAUUUUUAAUCAUCCUGAAGUUAAUGAUGAUGAUUUACAUAAUUCAACAUAUUAGUUCCAUAAUUAUACUAUUCAUAAUAAUGUUUUGCACACUUCUGCUCCUCAUCACAAAAAUGCUAUAGUUAUAGUCAUCUUUAUUUUAUGAAUGAUUAUCAUUGUUACGAUGUAAUAACUUCGAGCAACAUUCUAGAUCUUAUACAAACUACAUUUGUCAUAUUUCUAUUAAUUUUGAACCACAAUCUUAUUAUCAAGCCAUAAAAUUUCCAUAUUGAAAAGUUGUUAUAGAUUAUUUUCAUGCUAUGCUGUUAAAUAAUACUUCCUCUAUCAUUCCUCUCUCCCUAAAAAGCAAUCAUUAGAGUUGUAAAAAAGAUUACAACCCACGCAUCAACCAGGUCCACCACGGGUUCGAGUCGGGUUAGAUUUGAAAAAUUGUAUUUUUUUUAUGCGGAUAAGAUUUUAACCCAGAUCAUUUAAACCCUAAAUUUAUUUUAUUAAAAUUUUAUUUUAUUUUUAUGAAAAGAUAUUUAUUAUUUUUUUUUUGAAAAAAUUAUUUAAGUUUCCUAUUUUAAAAAUUAAUUACACACUCAUGUUGGCAGUGUAAUUUGGGAUUAAAAUUUGUUUAGAUUUGAAUUAUAGAAUGUUUGUAAUUUUUUUAUUUAAAAAAAUUGUAAUUAAGGGAGUUAGUGAACCAACCCGUUUACCCACCAACCCGUGGUGGGUCGGGCUGGGUUCAAAUUUUUCUGACUCGCUAAUAAAUGAGUCAGGUUGGGUUGGUUCACUAAGUGACCAACCCGUGGUGGGUCGAGUCGGACCGGGUUACCUCGUUUUGACAGCUCUAGCAAUCAUAAGUUGUAAACGAUUUUUUAAAUUGGAAUUAACUUCUAGGACAUCUAUUGCUAAACAUAAAGCUAGGUUUGUUGCACAUUGUUUUACACAAUAAUUUAGAAUUGAUUUUUGAGAAACUUUUAUCCAUAUGUUGCUCAUGUUACUUUUCUUAAACUUCUUUUCGUUACUACUUAUAAACAUUGACAUCUUGCUCAAUUUAAUAUUAACAAUACUUUUCUUGAUGACAAACUUAAUGAAGAAACCUUUAUGACUAUUCCUCAAGAUUAUCAUCAUGGUUUUUAAUCUACAUCUAACCAAUUUUUAGUCUAUAAAUUUCAUAAAUGUAUAUAUGACCUAAAACAAGUUUCUAGAAGUUGGUUUACUGCUUUUUCUUUUACUCUUACCUCUCACAAUUUUAAUUAAUCCAAGUAUAAUUAUUCUCUUUUUACCAAAGGGGCACACAACACCUUCAUUGUUAAACUUGUUUAUCUUGAUGAUAUUGGAAUUGCUAGCCCUAGUCCAACUAUUAUUAAGUAUGUUAGGUUCAACACUUUUUUAAAUUCUCAAUUUUUUUUUUCUUGAACUAAAGCUUUCUAAAUCCAAAAUAGGUAUUUUUAUGUGCCAACAACAUUACAUUCUCUAUUCUUGAGGAUUGUGGCACGUUGGGUUGUAAGCCUUCUUGUAUUCCUAUGAUUGUCAAUAUUAAACUCCAUGAAUCUUUUGGAACUCCUAUCACUGACCCAUCUGUCUAUAGACACCUUAUUAGAAGGUUACUAUAUUUAAUCACUCUAUUAAUUUAGGUAAGUAUGCAUUAUACCUUUUCCUUAAAAGAAGUUACAUAUUAUACAAGUUUAGUUUGUGCUAGAGUUUAGUCUAUAUUGGUUGUUUGUUUAGUUAUGUUUCUUGUAUAGUUAGUUUAAUUGGUUUUAGUUAAGAUAGCUUUUGUUUUUCUUUUUAUGCUUCUGCCACCAAGCCCUGUGAAGGAAGAUAGAAAAUACUUUUGGUAAUCUUCAAUAAACUUUUUAUUCUUUCCUUUGCUAUGGUAUGCUAGUACAUAUUGUUUAGGCAACCGCAAAAAAGAUAAUACAUUUGCAAUGAAGAUUUUUUAUGUGGAUUAAAAAAAUGUUUUCUAUGUUAGUUUAAGUAUAAUCAACAUGGAAAUUCUUAUAAUUUAUUAUGAAAUUACUGUUACAUCAACUUUUUAUGUUGAUUAUAAUAAUAAUCGACCUAAAAUUCUUAUCAUAUUUAUAAUUCUAUCACCACUUCAUUUAUUAUGGUAGGUGGAUAAAACUGACAUAAGAAGUUAUCAUAAAAAAUUAUUGGUGUAAAAACUAAUUUUGUGUUUUUUUACUAUAAACCAUUUCUUAACUAUUAUAUUUCAAUUCACUAGAUUUCGUGGUAUUGAAAUAGUUAGUCAUUAAAUCUUAUUAAGCUAAAAGAAAUAUAAACUUGUAAAAAGCAAGAAAAAAAACUCUUAAAGGUGUAUUAUGCAACUAGAUUCUUUGAGUGACAGUCUACCAUAAUAUUAGGAUAUGUUGUGUGAUAUAAGAAAAUAAAAUCUAGGGGACACUGGUAUCAAUUAGGAAGUACUACUACAAGAAAAACAUAUUAUUUUGGAAAUUUAACGUCUAACAGCACCGACGUCUUAUUGGAAGAUCUCAAUUUAACGUCGAGUGUAUAGUAACAUACGUCAUUAGACAUCGGUUUUUUUAAAGAUAAAUUUGUUUUACAAUAAAACUAUACUGAAAAUCAAAAAAUGUUUCCAACACAUCACAAAAUUAUACAUACUAUGUGUUUUAUGUCAUUAUAAUACUAAACAAUCUAAAAAGCAAUUCAAAAUACUAACAAAAGUAUUAACCUUCUUGAAGGGUUGAAAAUGGAAAUAAUCGAAAGAGAAUGGACACAAACAAUACAGAAUGGGCACAAGUAAUGAAGAGGGGAAGUGUUGCUGCCAAGCUCCGAGAACUCGCGCACAAGAACUUUACCAAAAGCCAAUGAAAACGAAUUUUAAUCGGUGCAAAUGAAAGAUAACGGUUCCAAACGUAACGUAGUAUGUCCAAAAUGAUUUUAAAUAGUGCAAAGUGGAAGAAAACAUAACUGAACGUUAAUGGUGAAAGAGAGAAAGCAAAGGAAGAAGAUAAACGCAGCGAGAGAGAAAACGCGUAACUAGUGCUCACGUUCUGGAGUGGGUGAAAAUUCAAGGUAUUUGACGUCGGCUGACGUCGAGUCCCCUUGCCAUCUGACAUCUAAGUGGUAAAGAAAAUUAAUAUUUUUGCACCGUUUUGACGUUCGUGGAGAGGGGAGCCAACGCCUAAAGUCUAUAAACAGUGACUUUUUAGUUUUGGGUGCAUACCAUUUAAUGUCUGACUCUAAGGGAGUUGACGUUUAAACCAUAUUUGACGUUGAAGACUCCUAUAACCAAUGUCUAGAAUGCCAUUUUAUUUAUAAAACUGUCACCAAUGAUUUUUUACAUUGGAUUUUCUUACGUUAGACAUUAAACGCAUGACGUUAAACGUUAUUUCUACACUAGUGAAGAUUAUAAUAUUCAUAUUAGGUAGUUGAACACAAGAGAAGAAGAUGAGAGAAAAAAUGUUAUAACUUGUAUAAUUAUUAAUGUUUUAUUUUAUAAUUAGUUGUUAAUGGUUUGACUAGCGUAUUGAAUUGUUCAAGUAAUAAAACAUGGCAAGACCAAAUAUUAUUUUCCAAGAGACUUGUGUAAUACUAAAGAAUUGUAUGAUUAACAACUCAUUUAGACUAAAGAGCAGUGCAUGGAUUUACAAAUAUGUGCAAGGACAUCAAUUUAUAAAUAAUACAAUGUGGACUUUGGUAGUUGAAGACAUUUAAGAGUGGAAAAAGGUCAUAAAUGAUAUGGAUCGACUUUGCUAAGGUUAGGUUUCACCAACUCCACUCUUGUGCAUACACAAAUUUAUCUCCUCUCCAUUAAACAUUAAUGUCAACCCACACUUUAGCCCUAAUCCCUUAGGUGAAAUAGCCUAGAUUUUCCUAUUAAGCGUCAAUCCUUUGAUCACUCAACAAGCAAACUCGCAUUAAGAUCUAGACUUUAAGACAACAAAUGGGUCAUGUUCCAUCCCUAGAAUCCAUGUCCUCACUAUGUAUCUUGUUUCAAGUCUAGGUCACACAAGAUACGUCCUCAUACCUAAUGAACCACAAAUCAAGUCAUGAAUGUCCCCAUUACAUGCAAGCAUUAAGAUCGAAAACAAGAAAACUAGCAAUUAAUGGUAAAGGUGUGUGUGUGUGUGUGUGUGUGUGUGUAUAUAUAUAUAUUCAAAUCAUCCACACAAGAAUUCAAAGGUUACAUUUAUCCCCAACAAGAUGAGUUUGGCUCUCCAUUUUCAUGGAGAGCCUUAAGCUUACAAAAUGGUCAUGGAAGAAGAAGAAGAAGAAACCAAGAGGAGGAUGAGAGUGUUCCCACGAACCCUAGCAGCUCUCCAAGGUCCCCUCAAAGUGAAAUCGCGCCUCUAAACCACCAAAGACCCAUAUCACUUCGCAUUUUUGAGCUAAAUAGACUAGAUUUGCCACAUCAGCAAAAGUGGGCCUCAACGACAGCCCAUCAGUAGAAAGCCAAGAUGAAUGACGCUCAAUGGUAGCCUAACGGUAGCCUAGAGGAAGAAAGCCGAGACGAACGGUGCUCAGUGCCAGCCCAACACCAGCAUUCCAAAACUCUCCCUUUUUGUUGCUAUGCUUGCUUCUCUAGGUGGUUAAGUUCUUUAAAUUGGUGGAAGUUCUUUCAUAACACAAAAUUAGCUACAAAACAAGGGAAUUAGUGAUUAUAUUUAAUAAGUGUAGCCCAAAAUACAAUUAUUUAUAAAAGUAAAAUAAAAGAGAUGAUUAAGCAAAAUUCAAACUAGAAAAGAGAUGAUUUUGCAAAGAAAAUAUGGUCCAGAUAAUGGUAAGAAUUAACAUUAUCAUUAGUCAUCACAACAAGUCAGGUCACACAUGAAUAAUAGUUAUUCAAUACCUAAUCUGUAACAGGAAAUUUGACUUUUUAUCUGUUUGAUACCCAUUUAAAAAAUAUUUAUGAAUUUUAAAAAAUUAACUGAUAUUUAUGGAUACAUAUAGAUAUUUAAAGAAAUACAAAUAAAAUUUUAAAAUAAAAUUUAAAUAAAAUUAAAAAAUGAAAAUAAAAUAUAAUUAAAUUAAAUUAAAUAUAUAAAUUUAAUCGAAUAAAGUUUACAUUAAAUUUUAAUUUUAAAGAUAAUAAAUAUUUAUAGAUACAAAUAGUUUAAAUUUGUUUAUAAAUAAAUAUUAAAUUAUUCGUCAUCCGGAUCUAAAGUAUCACUUAUUACCUAAAUUUUCAUACCCUUAUUAGUUUCAUCCGUGUAUAUCCUUAAACAAUAGUAGAAACCCGGCACGCACAUGAAGAGAACCCAAUUCUCUUCUUCUUUACUCUUUAGAAAGCACAUCAUACAUAAUUUUGCUUUUAAUUAUUACUUCCUUUUUUAAGGGUAAUAUAAAAAUAAAUUAUUUGAUUUUCUUCAUUAUUCUUUUUGAGAAAAAAUAAUUUUUUUACGUUUUAUGUCAUAAAAAUAAAAAUAAAUUAAAGUUUAUUUAUAUAUAAUUUUAUAAAUAGUUUAUCAAAACAAAUUUAUAAAAACUUUAAAACAAAAAAAAAAUAAAAAAUAUACUUUCACAAUUAUAUCUAAAUAUAAAUAAUUUAUGAGUUUAUAAAAAAUGACUUAUUUUAAAAUUUUUUAUUUAAAAUUACUUUAUUUUUAAAUUUAAACAAAUUUAACAUAUAUUAUAUUUUUAAAAUUUCAAAAUAAUGAAAUUAUAUAUCUCAAACAUAAUUACAAUUAAAAAAUUAUUUGAAAAACUUUUUGUAAAAUCAACAUUAUAUGUUAUUUAGAAAUAACUUUCAUUUGAAGAUUUUUUUUCAGUUAUAGAUCGCUUUUUAAUUUUAUUGAGUACAUUAUUAGAAUUGUUUCCCAAAAUAGACAUUUUGCUGUUCAGUAUAUUUUUUGUUUUUGCAAAAGACUAAAUUUUUAUCAUGUCUUUUUUUUAACAACAUUUUCUUUUCUAAUUUUAUAAAUGUUUAUAUUUAUUUAUAAUAUUUAUAAUAAAUUACUUUAUUAUAAUUUCACAAUUUUUAUGUGAAUAUAAAUUUAAAAAAUAUAUAAUUAAUAUUUAUAAUUUAAUUGAGAAUAAUUUUUUUCGAAAAAUGAUAUAAUAAAUAAGAUAAUUUAAAUAUAUUGUAAAUAUAGAAAUAGAAAAAUUAUCAUAAUGAAUUAUUACAAUUUUGGAUUUUUUUGUAAAAUUAAUUUUGAUAAGUGUAUAUUUAUUUUAUUAAAAUAAUUUACGUAAUAAUUCUUUUGUGUGUAAUAAGUUAGAAAAAUAAAAUUAAAUAAUGAUACGAUUUUAGGAGGAAAUAUUUGAACUUUUCUUUCCUCAAGCAUACUGUUCCACCAAUAAUUACAUGUAUAUGAAUUUAAAUAAGAAUUUUCGAAUUUAUACCUUUUUUAUUUUAAAAUUCUUAUAAAAUUCUAUUAUGAAUUUUUAUAUUUUGUUAUAUUUUAAAUUUACAUAAUUUUCAAAAUAAAACUUUUUAAUUUUUUUUAUAUCUCUAUAAAUAAACCUAGAUGUGUAAGGACCUUAAAAAAAAUGGUAAGGCUAUUGGGCCUGAGUGGAGGCAGCCGACCCAUAAGACUAAGGGCACAUCACUUUAGAGAGUAGUUUUUCAAAAGUCUGAUUUCAUUUUAGCCAAUCCCUUUCUCUCUCUAAAAACUCAGAUUUUCCAUUCUUUCUGCCUUCUCUCUAAAAUCCCAACUCACUGAACCGUUUAAUUUUUGGUUUGAAGGUGUCUAAGCGUUCACAGCGUCAAGGGCUUCACUUUGAACCUAUUGGUUUCUCCGUUUCAUUCCGGUAAGUAGUUCUUUUGUCUCCUCCGCUACUUUCGAAACCUAGGGCUAGGGGUUCUACUGAUUUUAAGCAGAUAGAACUUUCCUUUCUUUGAUUUAUGUAACAUUCUAGCUCUAAAGAGCUGUUUUCACCACCUCCGUGGUGACUGUAGGGCACUGUUCAGGUUUUGCACUAGGGAGGGUAUUAUUAGGGCGUGUUCAAUUAGCUUACUGUGGAAACCCAAGGUAAUGGGAGAUAAUUAUGUUUCUUUGAAUUGAUUAUGUGCUCGGUAUGUCUAGUGAAGUUUAAUUGUUAUACUGUUUGAAUUGCAUGUUAGGUUUUAGGAAUAUUGGAUGGUAUGUGUUGAACUGUGAAACUGAUGAAAAGUAUGAAUAUGUGAAUUGGUAGUGUACUGCUUGAAAUCUGUUUUGAAUGAGUCUAAAUGCUGCAAAUUGGUAUGUUGAAAGUGUCUUGGUCGGAAAUCCUACUGUGUUGUGGUCUUGAUAGUACAAUGACAGUUUGGGGUAUCGUUUUAAGUAGAUUGAAAGAAAUUGAGGCGUUGAAACUGUACAUUUGGAGUCUAGAGUCCAAUAGGUUAGUUUGAAUAAUUUAAAUGAAUAAAUUGUAACUCGUUGAGAGCAUGUUUGUUGGUAGGAUAGAGGAGUCUUAAAAACCUGAGUUGGCACAUCCCUGAUCAUAGAGCAGCCUUAGCCUAGUCCAGUCAGUUGUGACUAGUCAUAUGUGCUGGCGUCGAAGAUGAGUCUGAUGCGUUCAGACAUUUGAGUCCUCUCUAGUGACCAAUUGGAAUGUGAGGAGGAUUGGGAGAAAGUAAGAUCUUUACUAUGAUGAUAAUUAGAUAAACAGUUAGAGAUUUAGAGGCAUUCUAAGUUGGCUAAAGGGAAGUGAGAAGGUGAUUUUGAAUAUUUGGAGUGCUGAGUGCAUUUGGUCUGUUUGGACAGUUUAGACAAGUCAUUUGUGACUUGUUAGGCAGAUAAAAUUGAACUAAAACAGAUUAGAAAUGGUAGAAUUGAAUUAGAGUUCAUAAGUCAUAGGAUGUGAUGUUUUGGAGUUGAAUUCAAGCCUAAAUCACUUUAGAAUCACUGUAUAAUUGAUAAAAUCUAUCUAGACAAGUUUAAAUAGGUCCAUAUCACAAAUUAGAGGUGUUAGAAGUUAGGUUAGAGGGUUAAAAGUGGUUGGAGAGGCAUGAGUUGCAUGAUUCUGCAGAACGUCUGAUGGGAACUCCUGAGGAGUUGAGUCUGUUUGAAGUAGAUCUGGAUCCUCAAGGCUUCCUUGACAAAGAUUGACGCAGCGGAAAAAGGAAAAGGAUCUCGGUAUUGAAGUAGAAAUCGAGAAAGACAAAGGAUCUAGGGUUUUAAUCGGUGGAAAACCCUAUAGACUCGAAGGAAACCCUAGAAGUGGGGAGAGACUCGAAUCCGACCGAUUAAACGGUGGAAACAUGAUUUUGAUCGGUGCAAAAGAGGAAUGAUCGGAGGAAAACAAGUUUAAUCGGUGGAACGUGGUGUUUAAACGGUGAGAAAGGUUUUUAAUCGGUGGAAAGUCAAGAAAGAGGGUGGAGGAAGGUGGAUCUGUGAAGAAAAUGAACUUACAGUGACGAACGGAGCGACAAUGGUGGAACAGCGUUUAGCGGAUGGCUGGAGAUGGAGAGAUGCGCUCUCGAGAGCGAGGAAGUAAAGCUCGAGAGAGAAAAUGAAGUGUGGAUCUGCGCGAGAAAUGAAGAAGACGUGGUGAUGACGCGACUGAAGCAUUGACGCGUGUGCGUGAUGUGGCCGUGGAGGAUUGAAUCUGCGUGGAGGAGAGAGAAUGGAGCACAAUGGAGUUUGGAAAGUGAAAUGGAAGAGGUGUGCUGGAAGGUGGCUAGAGGCGGUUCAUCAAGACUCUCUAGCAUGAACUUUCAAGAUAAUUGUGUCUGGAUUUUCUUCAACAGAAAUCACAAUUCAUUUACUCAAAAGUUGUGUUUACAAUGGUGGAGACGGAUAUUUAUAAUAACCCGUGCUCCAAGAGAAAUGGACUACAUGUACACUAAAAAUAAAAGAAAUACAUGAGGCAGUAUGCCAUCAUCCCCUCCCUCUUAAGAAAAGAUUUGUCCUCAAAUCUUGGGAGUUGCCUUAUAAAGACGCUCCUCAUAGUGUUGGGAGCAUGGCCAUCUUGUAGUGGCCUUAUUCCUUUAUUCCUUGGGAUAUAUUGUUCUUCCUCCUGGAUCAAACACAAAUCUGCAAUACACAUGAAAUAUAUCACNCAUUAAUAUCNAUCCAAGAAAGGAAUUUUCAAAAGUAAUAACUUUGAAAUAAAGACUUCUUAUAUUUUGUUUUGUAGUCUUGGAAAAAUCUAGAAGUCCAUAUUCACAAGUUAUUUUAUUUUUAUCUUGAGUUAUGUGUCUCCUCAAGGGUAACAUUAACUCAAGAAUCAAAUUGCCAUGUUUUGAAAAUGAUUGUUCAUGAAUGACAUUUGAUUCAAAAGAGAAGGUAAUAUUUGAAAACUCAAUAAUGAUUGGAAAAGAAAUAAAGAUUUGGAAACCUUCCCUUUUAGGUUCCAUGACUCUUGGACGAAUUAAAUUUUCUAUUUCUCUCUUGUCCUCUUCUUUCUUCUUUUCUUCUUCUUUUCUCUUUUUCUCUUCUCCUCAUUCUAGUCUCUCUUCUUGCUUUUUUCUCUCUACUUCAUCUCUCUCUUUCUUUUCUUCUUCUUUUCUUUCUUGCUCAAGCCGUUUAAAAUCUCUUUCUAUUUUCUUAUCCCUUAACUCUUGAAGUUUUGCCCUAAAUUAUAUUUCCCUAUGAAAGAAACCAUGAGCAGUUAAACUUUCAAGAAAUAUUUUGCCAUUUUCAAUACUCUC
Molecule: long non-coding RNA, 21326 nt
Filed under: Vigna radiata
Lineage: Eukaryota; Viridiplantae; Streptophyta; Magnoliopsida; Fabales; Fabaceae
Description: long non-coding RNA (VRAD_LNC001301)
Source: RNAcentral